UCCCUGGCGGUCCAGUGGUUAAGACUCUACACUUUCAUUGUGGAGGACCUGGGUUCAAUCCUCAGUCAGGGAA
Non-coding RNA from Cervus elaphus (red deer), 73 nucleotides. The record is from the annotation of a RefSeq genome assembly. Lineage: Eukaryota; Metazoa; Chordata; Mammalia; Artiodactyla; Cervidae.